Molecule: long non-coding RNA, 1632 nt
Organism: Dasypus novemcinctus (nine-banded armadillo)
Lineage: Eukaryota; Metazoa; Chordata; Mammalia; Cingulata; Dasypodidae
Source: Ensembl
ACCCAGGUGCUCAGCUGAUGCCAUCUGACUUGGACCAUCUUCCAGUUCUGUCGUCUUCUGGCUGGCUUCCUUUUCAGGCUUGCUCCUUCCUGUUGUGGCACUUCAAGCCUAGUCCCUGCCCACUGACUACCCCCAAAGACAUGGGGCCGCCUCUUUCCUCACUAUUGCAGCAAAAAUCACAGAAGUGGGCCGCUGACUCGGCUUGGAUCAAGAGCCCACUGUGUAUAUCCCACCACUGGGAUGGAAUGUUCUGACUGCCUGUGUCUGGACCAGCCCAACAGAAUCAUGUGAACUGAGCAAGUCUGGGAGGGAUAGUUCCCAAAGAAGGACAGAGGUUCCGACGCCGUGGAGGAACAGAUGCUGGUGGCAGAAGGACAGUCGUGCCCUUGGCCCAGCAUGCAGGCAGCCUGGGUGCUCAGCCCUUCAGAGGCUGGACAGGGCCCAGGAGGAGGAAGGACAGGCCAUGACGGCCAGGCCUGGGUGGACGUCAGCCAGGCCGUGAAUCCAGAGCCAGAUUGCUCAGGGUCCCACCAUUCACCAGUCACUGCUGGCCCCCUUCCUGGUUUAGACUCAUCCUACUGGUUCCUGCUGAGGCCAGCUGUGGGUGUCAGGAGCCCUCCCAACCAGACCCCGCUGCCAGCAACCCAGGUACUUUCACACACUCCAGUCGAGCAAGCACCAGGACCUCCUGGUGUCUCCAUUUCCAUCCCUUUCCAGCCUCUCCCCUGCCCUGGCCCCCUGCCAGACCCUGCCAGGGCACCCCCAGGGGGCAGCCCAGCCUCCCCUCUGGCCUCCCAGUUUGGGCAGAAGGUCUUCCAAGAUCAGGCCUCUCCCUCUCUUCCUCACAGGUCUGGGCUGGUGUCCCUCUGCCCCAAAGAUAAAGCCAAGCCUCUUGGCAUGACUUACUCUCUGGACUGACCAUAUGAUAGCCAGGCCCUGAGCCUCAACAGACUUCAGCUCCUACACUCUGGUUUAUUGGACUUACCCGACUCAGCUAACAUGGAGGUGAAGAAUGUCAACCACCACACCAGGGAGCCAAGAGUGCCUACAACUGAAAGCAGGAGAAUUGCAUCUGGCAUCCAUGUGGAAUCUAAGCCCUCUCUUGAUAUAGAUGUGGAGUGGACACAGCCAUUCUAAGGUCUACAGGAUGGAGGAAUAGAGUAUGGAUUAGAGUGAACUUACUGAUAUUCUAUUCAUGAACUAUUGUGAUUAGUAAUUGAAGAAAAUGUGGCAUUGGUGUGGAGAAAGUGGCCAUGGUGGCUGCUGGGGGUAGGGAGUGGGAGGAAGAGAUGUGAUGUGGGGGCAUUUUCAGGACUUGGAGUUGUCCUGGGUGGUCCUGUGGGGACAGUUACCGGACAUUGUAUGUCCUCCCAGGGCCCACUGGGUGGACUGUGGGAGAGUGUGGGCUAUGGUGUGGACCAUUGACCAUGAGGUGCGGCGGUGCUCAGAGAUGUAUUCACCAAAUGCAAUGAAUGUCUCAUGAUGAUGGAGGAGGUUGUUGUUAUGGGGGGAGGAGUGGAGUGAGGGGGGUGGGGGCUGUAUGGGGACCUCAUAUUUUUUUAAUGUAACAUUAAAAAAUAAAUAAAGUCAAAAAGAAAAAAAAAUCAUAAAAAAAAUAAAGCUGCUUGUCCA